GGUACACAGCAAUACAGCAGACACAGUUGGUAUGCAGGGAGCUACCAGUGGGAUGGAGAACAUGAAGACAAGACUCCAAGAGAUUCCUGGCAGAGAAGAUGCACAGAGAUUGUGGCCAUCGAUGCACUAAUGUUUAGGAACUUCCUGCAACAGUUUCACCCUGAGAAAAUCAACCGGGAACUCAACAAGGCUUACUGUGGUUUUUCCUUUUCCAGAGGAAAAGACACAGCACCUCUCGUCAGUGGCAACGGAACUGGGGGUGCGGUGUGUUUGGAGGAGACACCAGGCUGAAAGGGGAGGCGUACGGUCUACUGGAGCAAUACUACAAUUCAGUGUGUAAGAGUUGCCUCAUCAACCGGCCAGACGUCAGCCUCUAUUCCUUCAUCUACCAGCAGAUCAGCACCAACUCUACCCCCCACUCUGCAUAGCGCCAGCCCCAACGGCGCCUUAGCCAGACACACUGUCUCCACAGAACGCAGCUAAGGUAA
This is a long non-coding RNA of Osmerus eperlanus (European smelt), 488 nucleotides long. RefSeq lists it as uncharacterized. The record is from RefSeq and is a predicted model, not a curated record. Lineage: Eukaryota; Metazoa; Chordata; Actinopteri; Osmeriformes; Osmeridae. The transcript is spliced from 4 exons.